GCUGGCGUAGCUCAGAUGGUAGAGCGUUUGAUUUGUAAUCAAAAUGUCACGGGUUCGAUUCCUGUCGCCAGCUCCA
Molecule: transfer RNA, 76 nt
Filed under: Porticoccaceae bacterium
Lineage: Bacteria; Pseudomonadati; Pseudomonadota; Gammaproteobacteria; Cellvibrionales; Porticoccaceae
Description: tRNA-Thr
Rfam family: tRNA
About the family: Transfer RNA (tRNA) molecules are approximately 80 nucleotides in length. Their secondary structure includes four short double-helical elements and three loops (D, anti-codon, and T loops). Further hydrogen bonds mediate the characteristic L-shaped molecular structure. tRNAs have two regions of fundamental functional importance: the anti-codon, which is responsible for specific mRNA codon recognition, and the 3' end, to which the tRNAs corresponding amino acid is attached (by aminoacyl-tRNA synthetases). tRNAs cope with the degeneracy of the genetic code in two manners: having more than one tRNA (with a specific anti-codon) for a particular amino acid; and 'wobble' base-pairing, i.e. permitting non-standard base-pairing at the 3rd anti-codon position.
Source: RNAcentral